UAUUUUGCUUAGUAUUGGAUCUUAAAAAGUCCAGGACCAGAGUCCAACUGAAGUGAGCCAUCCAGUGUGAAUUUAGUAAUGCUUGAGCUGAUUAAACUUUGGUUCUUGGGGAGGGGCAGGAUGUUCAGUGGUGUGGAGUUUGAACCGUGUUUCUUGUGCUCUGUGUCUUGUUCUCUAAUGAGACUCUCCCUUAUGCAAUGCUCCAACCACGGGUGGCUGUCGUUGCCAUUGGGCAUUGCCUGUGUGUGCAACGGGCAGCUGGGCUGGGAUUCUGGGACUUCAUCCAGCAUUCAGACUUUAAAAGAAAUUGUUUGUCUUUCUCUUGAUUGCAAUACCAUACUUUUAAAUUGUAUUUGGAAUUAGAUGAGUCUGGGGGUGGAGGGGGGCGGUUUCUCAGCAUUUGUUUCGCUUCAUUUGAACAGUCCACAACUAAAACUGCUCUCAUUAAGCCCUUCUCUGAGAAUGCUAAUAAAGCAUCGUGGUAGGGAAGGAUGGCAGCCAUCCCACAGUUCCCUACCACAUGUGAAUUCAAGUUUCUGUGAGAGCUGAUGCUUUAAGGACUUGGUGCUUUGUUUUCUUUUCAGGCUGGGAGAACAUCAGCUUCUACAAUACUGCUUUGUUAAUGGAACCCCAGCAUGAGGCCUCAGGGUUUGUUUGGUUUUGUUUGGUUUUACACCAUUCUCAUCUCAAACCUCUGAGGGAUUUCAGGCCUGGCAUUCACACCUCAAUAACCUGCUUUCAUCAGCUUUUGGGGAGCUUUAGUUAAACUGUGAAACUGUUCCUUAGCUGUAUGUGUUGACAUUUCUUUGUGUGAUUUCAUGUUUCUCAGUGAGGACCUGCUUAUGUUUGUCACGUCAAGAUGAAAAAUUAACAGAUGGGAGUCAGGGAGACGGUUGGAGCCUCAAUCACCAGCAGCUCUGUAGAUCUUUGGUACCUGUAGGAACUCACCGUCUCCAACACCACUGCUGCGUUUUUCAGUAUUGGCCUGUUUGGUUCAAGGAACAGGUAACAAGGGACUGGAUAUCAGGAAAUUGCCUCUAAUUAUACCAGGGAAGUUUUGAUUAGACACUAGGAAUAUUUUUUCACAGGGUUGGAAAGGACUGAAAGACUGUCAAGGGCACCAUCCACCACCAUCCUGGAAGUGGCACCUGAGGACAGAGUUUAAUGGUGAACGUGGUUGUGAUGUUGGGUUGAUUGUUGAACUGGAUGAUCUUAAAGGGCUUUUCCAACCUCAGUGUUCCUGUGAUCCUAAGAAGUUUGAGGUGGGAAUGGUUGGCCAGCAGAUCAGCAGCAUGAGUGAGCAGCCCUCAGCUGGCAGAUGGGGUGUGCAGGAGUCAGUGCAGCUGGGGGCAGCUGUACCUAAAACAACUCAUCAUGUCUUUAUUUUCCUUUUAUUUAUUUUCAGGUGUACAGUUACAGCAUUUGUGAGAUUAAUGAUCAGAUUAUGUCUUUGAGCAAAAAGACUAUUCAGUGGUAGGAAUCAACAUUUGACUGAUAGGCUUAUUACAGACUGGGGAGAAAGAGUGUUUUUUAGUGUCUUUAAGUGUUUCUGCUAUUUUUUGAUGCAUUUAAGAAUGUUUCCCCUUUCUUAGUGAUUUCCUUGGUUGGGCUUUUUGCAGAGAAGCAUGGUAGGAGGAACAACAUUUUCUGGAAAAUGAGGAAACAUGAUUGUGAAAAAAGAAAAGGUUUCCUUUAGA
Motacilla alba alba is the source of this 1697-nucleotide long non-coding RNA. RefSeq lists it as uncharacterized. The transcript is spliced from 2 exons. The record is from RefSeq and is a predicted model, not a curated record. Lineage: Eukaryota; Metazoa; Chordata; Aves; Passeriformes; Motacillidae.